GACGAACGCUGGCGGCGUGCCUAAUACAUGCAAGUAGAACGCAGUUUCGAACGGGUGAGUAACGCGUAGGUAACUGCCUCAUAGCGGGGGAUAACCAUUGGAAACGGUAGCUAAUACCGCAUACUGUGAGCUGGACCUGCGUUGUAUUAGCUAGUUGGUGGGGUAAAGGGUCACCAAGGCGACGAUACCUCGCCGACCUGGGUGGGUGAUCGGCCAAGCUGGGACUGAGACAAGGCCCAGACUCCUUCGGGGGGGAGCAGGAGGGAAUCUUCGGGAAUGGACGGAAGUCUGACCAGGCAACGGCGCGGGGAGGGAGAAAGUUUUCGGGUCGUAAAGCUCUGUUGUUAGGGAAGCGGUAACUAAACAGAAAGGGACGGCUAACUACGUGCCAGCAGCCGCGGUAAUUC
Molecule: ribosomal RNA, 407 nt
Filed under: uncultured bacterium
Lineage: Bacteria
Description: partial 16S ribosomal RNA
Rfam family: Bacterial small subunit ribosomal RNA
Source: RNAcentral